GCCCGAAUGGCGAAAUCGGUAGACGCAAGGGACUUAAAAUCCCUCACUCGCAAGAGUAUCCCGGUUCAAGUCCGGGUUCGGGCACCA
RNAcentral lists this transfer RNA (87 nucleotides) under Stagnimonas sp. Its description in RNAcentral is "tRNA-Leu". It matches the Rfam family "tRNA". Rfam says of the family: Transfer RNA (tRNA) molecules are approximately 80 nucleotides in length. Their secondary structure includes four short double-helical elements and three loops (D, anti-codon, and T loops). Lineage: Bacteria; Pseudomonadati; Pseudomonadota; Gammaproteobacteria; Nevskiales; Nevskiaceae. The record is from RNAcentral.